RNAcentral lists this ribosomal RNA (253 nucleotides) under uncultured bacterium. RNAcentral's name for it is "partial 16S ribosomal RNA". It matches the Rfam family "Bacterial small subunit ribosomal RNA", at positions 524 to 776 of the family's 1533-position model. The record is from RNAcentral.
UACGUAGGGGGCAAGCGUUAUCCGGAUUUACUGGGUGUAAAGGGAGCGUAGACGGCAGAGCAAGUCUGAAGUGAAAGCCCGCGGCCCGACUGCGGGACUGCUUUGGAAACUGCCCGGCUAGAGUGCUGGAGAGGUAAGCGGAAUUCCUAGUGUAGCGGUGAAAUGCGUAGAUAUUAGGAGGAACACCAGUGGCGAAGGCGGCUUACUGGACAGUAACUGACGUUGAGGCUCGAAAGCGUGGGGAGCAAACAGG